GUUCAUUUGACAGCAAACAGGGCAGGAUUAUAUUUUUCUUAUUUCAAUUUAAUUAUGAAAUUCUGCUAAAGGCCAUGUUCCAAAGCCUGGAUUUCAAGCUGCUUGUUUGCCAUGAAUUUACCAUUUCCAUGCGCUUUUAAAAGUCCUCAUUCUAGUGAACUGCAAAUGUAUUGGAGGAAGGAGGUCAUUGUUGUGCUGUAUAUAGCACAGUAGGUGCCAUUUCUAAAUCUGU
RNAcentral lists this long non-coding RNA (232 nucleotides) under Cavia porcellus (domestic guinea pig). RNAcentral's name for it is "lncRNA (ENSCPOG00000031818.1)". Lineage: Eukaryota; Metazoa; Chordata; Mammalia; Rodentia; Caviidae. The record is from RNAcentral.